GGGCAGUGUAUUGUUAGUUAG
Molecule: microRNA, 21 nt
Filed under: Monodelphis domestica (gray short-tailed opossum)
Lineage: Eukaryota; Metazoa; Chordata; Mammalia; Didelphimorphia; Didelphidae
Description: mdo-miR-449c-5p
Gene: mdo-miR-449c-5p
Source: miRBase by way of RNAcentral